Molecule: small nucleolar RNA, 77 nt
Filed under: Tauraco erythrolophus (red-crested turaco)
Lineage: Eukaryota; Metazoa; Chordata; Aves; Musophagiformes; Musophagidae
Description: Small nucleolar RNA R38
Rfam family: Small nucleolar RNA R38
About the family: snoR38 is a C/D box small nucleolar RNA conserved across yeast, human, Arabidopsis and rice. It is encoded in the intron of elongation factor-1 gamma in both pombe and cerevisiae. snoR38 guides the methylation of 2'-O-ribose sites in 28S rRNA.
Source: Rfam by way of RNAcentral
CUGAGCUAGUGAUGAUAUAAAGUUAUCCCUGUCUGAAACGGAUCUUUCCUCUGCGGAAGCAUAACUCUGAGGCUCAG